RNAcentral lists this long non-coding RNA (1124 nucleotides) under Homo sapiens (human). Its description in RNAcentral is "PREDICTED lncRNA (TCONS_00266102)". The record is from RNAcentral. Lineage: Eukaryota; Metazoa; Chordata; Mammalia; Primates; Hominidae.
GGGCUGCCCGCUCUGGCUGGGGAGGGCCUCGGCCCCCGCCUGCACCUGCGGCCCUUGUUUCUUGCGCGGUUUUGCAACGUCAGAGCCGUCCACACUCGCAGGCCAUUUUUAGCGGCCUGUUGGAAAGGGAAGACGAUGAAGUCGGGCUAAGCAGGGCAACGCCUUGCCCUCUGAGAGGCGUGGAGGGCCCUUGGGAAGCUCAGAGAGCUACGAUAAAAUGGCUAAACGACCUUCCUCUCCUCCAAGUCACCAAAUACGAGGAGAGGUGCCCGAUGAGCUCCCAGUCAUGUGGUUCAGGGCGGGCUCUGGAAGACUCACAGAGGAGACUCCUCCGAGAAACCAAGAAGGUUUCUGUCCAAGUCGGGAUCUGCUCUGCUCAGGAUGCUCCUCCAACACACACAGUGAAAAACUGAGCACCUAGAGAGCAACACCAAAAACCCAUGGCCAAUAAUGGAGAGCCAAAUCAGGAGAGCAUUCAGCAAAGCAAUUCUUGCUGUAGAAGGAACAGCACAAAAAGCUGGAAGGAAACUGAGGCAUGCGUGAAAGAUAACUUGUCAGUGUUUGCAGUCUACUGAGAUCCCCGCUGCAAGAAAAGGCAGGAUUUCCACUUGCUUCUUGGCCCGCCUCUGUUGUCCAGAAUCCAGGACAGGUGACAAGAGAAGCAGAUGUGAUCUGCACAAGCUGGCUCAGCUGGGUUGGGAGUUGCUCUUCCUGGACAGGCCGGGAAGGGUGCUGGAGGGGAGGGAGGAGGAGAGAGGUUUUAGGGGAGGGGUGCUGAGCAGUCAGGGACCUGUAAGGUCACAUUUCUUUCAGGUAUUCUUUCUAGGUGUACUGAAUGGGAACAUUGUCUGUCAUCCCUAGACUGCAUUAAAGACCUAAACUGCUUCCAUUUAUCUUUGGUUGUUGGACUGAAGUUUCUAAUGUACCUGGUGACACAGAGCACAGCUCUGUGUUUUUAUGGGUUGCUUAGUUCAAGAUCUGGAUGAAAGAAGCCUGAACCCAUUUUUGUGCAAAAGCCUAAGGGUGUACAGCAGGGAUGCUCAAACUUUUGUUUUUAUAAGAACCCACUUUUAUAUUAAGUAGGUUUUCUGUGUGUGAGAAGAAAUGCUUGAACAUGGAAAUGA